This 504-nucleotide ribosomal RNA is filed under the name uncultured bacterium. RNAcentral's name for it is "partial 16S ribosomal RNA". It matches the Rfam family "Bacterial small subunit ribosomal RNA", at positions 30 to 523 of the family's 1533-position model. The record is from RNAcentral.
AUUGAACGCUGGCGGCAGGCCUAACACAUGCAAGUCGAACGGUAGCACAGAGAGCUUGCUCUCGGGUGACGAGUGGCGGACGGGUGAGUAAUGUCUGGGAAACUGCCCGAUGGAGGGGGAUAACUACUGGAAACGGUAGCUAAUACCGCAUAACGUCGCAAGACCAAAGUGGGGGACCUUCGGGCCUCACACCAUCGGAUGUGCCCAGAUGGGAUUAGCUAGUAGGUGGGGUAAUGGCUCACCUAGGCGACGAUCCCUAGCUGGUCUGAGAGGAUGACCAGACACACUGGAACUGAGACACGGUCCAGACUCCUACGGGAGGCAGCAGUGGGGAAUAUUGCACAAUGGGCGCAAGCCUGAUGCAGCCAUGCCGCGUGUAUGAAGAAGGCCUUCGGGUUGUAAAGUACUUUCAGCGGGGAGGAAGGCGGUGGAGUUAAUAACUUCACCGAUUGACGUUACCCGCAGAAGAAGCACCGGCUAACUCCGUGCCAGCAGCCGCGGUAA